CAGCAGCCACGGGAAUACCGAGGGUGCAAGCGUUAAUCGGAAUUACUGGGCGUAAAGCGCGCGUAGGUGGUUUGUUAAGUUGGAUGUGAAAGCCCCGGGCUCAACCUGGGAACUGCAUCCAAAACUGGCAAGCUAGAGUACGGUAGAGGGUGGUGGAAUUUCCUGUGUAGCGGUGAAAUGCGUAGAUAUAGGAAGGAACACCAGUGGCGAAGGCGACCACCUGGACUGAUACUGACACUGAGGUGCGAAAGCGUGGGGAGCAAACAGGAUUAGAUACCCCCGUAGUCCCUGUCUCUUAUAC
RNAcentral lists this ribosomal RNA (301 nucleotides) under uncultured bacterium. Its description in RNAcentral is "partial 16S ribosomal RNA". It matches the Rfam family "Bacterial small subunit ribosomal RNA", at positions 509 to 807 of the family's 1533-position model. The record is from RNAcentral.